CUUUCACGUAUAAUAAACAUCCGUAUAAUCUUGACAAUAUGGGUCAAGAGUUUCUACCAAGGUACCUUAAAUCUUUGACUAUGGAUGAACCUAAUUUAAUA
Molecule: non-coding RNA, 101 nt
Filed under: Clostridium pasteurianum
Lineage: Bacteria; Bacillati; Bacillota; Clostridia; Eubacteriales; Clostridiaceae
Also listed under: 1 other name
Description: Guanine sequence
Rfam family: Purine riboswitch aptamer
About the family: Riboswitches are metabolite binding domains within certain messenger RNAs that serve as precision sensors for their corresponding targets. Allosteric rearrangement of mRNA structure is mediated by ligand binding, and this results in modulation of gene expression.
Source: RNAcentral